CCUCCUCGCGCACACAGACACACACACUGACGCACAUGUCAGCGCCUCCAUAACCGAGAAUGCAAAAGCACACAGUCUGAAAUCAAAGCUGAAACUCUCUCUGCCAUCUGCAGUGGUUCGCCGAUCUACGCGUUUAUCACCAUAAAAAAAAGUGCCAAAACUUUUUUUGCAUUGCGAUAAAACUACAGACUAUUUUAUUUUAAAUGUAUAUAUUGUUUUCUUUAUCACUUAAUAUAUGUUAGUGUUGCACAAAUUCUAGCAAGGCUAGAAAAAAAGCACAUGAAAACGUUUUUUAAAAAUAGUUUUCUUUCUGUUAUCGUGAUUUAAUUGUGAAGCAGGCAGGAGCCUGGACUGUUUGCACUCCACGCAUAGCCAUGGUGAGUUACUCAAGUUGCAAACAGUCCUCUUUUAGCUCUAGUGCUCUAUUUUUAUUCAUCUUGACCUGAGCCUUCAACGCCGUUUUUAACAGCCUGUUGAUGUAUCUUUUACGCUGAUGACGUCGUCCUCCUUCCUGAAUCUGAAUAAUGGCUCAUCUGUAAAGCAGGAUCUCAGUUGGUGAUUUUUGUCCUUUCUUUUUCGUUUUUCUAGCUCACUGAUGUCAUAUUUAUGUGAGUCGUCUCCAUUUGCUCUAACUCCGAGUUAAAAUGUGGAUCGAAAACAAUGUAAACUCACAAGAUCACAUGUGAGGUUCCUCAAGGCUGUACUCUGGGGCCACUUUACUUCAACAUACGUAGUCCCACUGCAUUACCUCUUUCCUUUCAUAUGCCAAUGUAACAAAUCCAAUGUUUUUUGUCACCACAUUACCGUAUUUGAAUCAUUGUGUCAUGAUAUUAAUAAAUGGAUGAGUAGGAAGCAGAGGUCACCGUUUUUGGUGCCCAAAACUCUUAUUAAAGUGAAAGAUCGUCGUGCUAAAUCCUACAGCGAACGCAAGCAAUUUAAGGGCAAAAUAAUACUGAUAAGAAAGCAUUGUUACUGUUUGAUUUUAUCGUCAACAGGCUUAAUUUGAUAGUCUCCGCAAAAACAAAAAAAAAAAACAGGCAGCUGCACUGGCCACCUGUUUGUAAACAGGGUAGAUCUAUCCCAUAUACAGACCAUCAGAGAUGUUCACUCAGACUGUUUUCACUGGACUAGAACUAAACAAGAGGAGACAGAUGGGAGUUUCUACACUUCUAGGCUGUGG
This is a long non-coding RNA of Xiphophorus couchianus (Monterrey platyfish), 1180 nucleotides long. RefSeq lists it as uncharacterized. Lineage: Eukaryota; Metazoa; Chordata; Actinopteri; Cyprinodontiformes; Poeciliidae. The record is from RefSeq and is a predicted model, not a curated record. The transcript has 2 exons.